UGGGCGUUAAGUUGCAGGGUAUAGACCCGAAACCCGGUGAUCUAGCCAUGGGCAGGUUGAAGGUUGGGUAACACUAACUGGAGGACCGAACCGACUAAUGUUGAAAAAUUAGCGGAUGACCUGUGGCUGGGGGUGAAAGGCCAAUCAAACCGGGAGAUAGCUGGUUCUCCCCGAAAGCUAUUUAGGUAGCGCCUCGUGAAUUCAUCUCCGGGGGUAGAGCACUGUUUCGGCUAGGGGGCCAUCCCGGCUUACCAACCCGAUGCAAACUGCGAAUACCGGAGAAUGUUAUCACGGGAGACACACGGCGGGUGCUAACGUCCGUCGUGAAGAGGGAAACAACCCAGACCGCCAGCUAAGGUCCCAAAGUCAUGGUUAAG
This 377-nucleotide ribosomal RNA is filed under the name Salmonella enterica subsp. enterica serovar Bareilly. RNAcentral describes it as "partial 23S ribosomal RNA". It matches the Rfam family "Bacterial large subunit ribosomal RNA", at positions 689 to 1063 of the family's 2925-position model. The record is from RNAcentral. Lineage: Bacteria; Pseudomonadati; Pseudomonadota; Gammaproteobacteria; Enterobacterales; Enterobacteriaceae.